UUGUUCCUUAAAUAGGGACUUGUAUGAACGGCCACACGAGGGCUUUACUGUCUCUUACUUCCAAUCCGUGAAAUUGACCUUCCCGUGAAGAGGCGGGAAUAUAACAAUAAGACGAGAAGACCCUAUGGAGCUUUAAUUAACCGACCCAAAGAGACCUCAUAUCCAACCGACAGGAACAACAAACCUCUAAUGGGCCGACAAUUUAGGUUGGGGUGACCUCGGAGAACAAAACAACCUCCGAGUGAUUUAAAUCAAGACUAACUAGUCAAAAGUACUACAUCACUUAUUGAUCCAAAAACUUGAUCAACGGAACAAGUUACCCUAGGGAUAACAGCGCAAUCCUAUUUCAGAGUCCAUAUCGACAAUAGGGUUUACGAC
Molecule: ribosomal RNA, 378 nt
Filed under: Lynx rufus (bobcat)
Lineage: Eukaryota; Metazoa; Chordata; Mammalia; Carnivora; Felidae
Description: partial 16S ribosomal RNA
Rfam family: Bacterial large subunit ribosomal RNA
Source: RNAcentral